CGACCCCGUGCGGGAGAGUCCCCGGGCACGUCCCGGGGCGCCGAAGGAGCAACCCUCCCCGGAAUCUCUCAGGCAUCCAGUACCGCUCGGGCGAG
Molecule: non-coding RNA, 95 nt
Filed under: Nonomuraea sp.
Lineage: Bacteria; Bacillati; Actinomycetota; Actinomycetes; Streptosporangiales; Streptosporangiaceae
Also listed under: 1 other name
Description: Glycine sequence
Rfam family: Glycine riboswitch aptamer
About the family: This family represents the bacterial glycine riboswitch. Glycine riboswitches usually consist of two metabolite-binding aptamers domains with similar structures in tandem. The aptamers cooperatively bind glycine to regulate the expression of downstream genes.
Source: RNAcentral